RNAcentral lists this ribosomal RNA (460 nucleotides) under uncultured bacterium. RNAcentral describes it as "partial 16S ribosomal RNA". It matches the Rfam family "Bacterial small subunit ribosomal RNA", at positions 338 to 795 of the family's 1533-position model. The record is from RNAcentral.
CCUACGGGUGACAGCAGUGAGGAAUAUUGGGCAAUGGACGAGAGUCUGAACCAGCCAAGUAGCGUGAAGGAUGACUGCCCUAUGGGUUGUAAGCUUCUUUUAUAAAGAAAUAAAACGAGGCACGUGUGCCUUUUUGCAUGUACUCUAUGAAUAAGGAUAGGCUAACUCCGUGCCAGCAGCAGCGGUAAUACGGAGGAUCCGCGCGUUAUCCGGAUUUAUUGGGUUUAAAGGGAGCGUAGAUGGGUUGUUAAGUCAGUUGUGAAAGUUUGCGGCUCAACCGUAAAAUUGCAAUUGAUACUGGCAGUCUUGAGUACAGUUGAGGUAAGCGGAAUUCGUGGUGUAGCGGUGAAAUGCUUAGAUAUCACGAAGAACCCCGAUUGCGAAGGCAGCUUACUAAACUGUGACUGACAUUGAUGCUCGAAAGUGUGGGUAGCAAACAGGAUUAGAUACCCUUGUAGUC